ACUGCUCAGUAACACGUGGACAACCUGACCAAAAGUCUGGGAUAACCCCGGGAAACUGGGGAUAAUACCGGAUAGAUCACCCUUCCUGGAAUGGUGGGUGGUUGAAACUUCAGGGGCUUUUGGGUGGGUCUGCGGCUGAUUAGGUUGUUGCCGGUGUAACGUACCGUCAAGCCAGUUAUCAGUACGGGUUGUGGGAGCAAGAGCCCGGAGAUGGAUUCUGAGACACGAAUCCAGGCCCUACGGGGCGCAGCAGGCGCGAAAACUCUACAAUGCAGGCAACUGCGAUAGGGGAACAUCGAGUGAUACUCAUAUUGGGUGUCUGUCCUUCCGUCUAAAAAACGGGAGUUAGCAAGGGCCGGGCAAGACCGGUGCCAGCCGCCGCGGUAAUACCGGCGGCUCGAGUGGUGGCCGAUAUUAUUGAGUCUAAAGGGUCCGUAGCCGGCUUGGCAAGUCUCUUGGGAAAUCCAGCGGCUUAACCGUUGGUCGUCCGGGAGAUACUACCUUGCUUGGGACUGGGAGAGGUAGGAGGUACUCAGGGGGUAGGAGUGAAAUCCUGUAAUCCUUUGGGGACCACCGGUGGCGAAGGCGUCACGCCAGAACAGGUCCGACGGUGAGGGACGAAAGCUAGGGGCACGAACCGGAUUAGAUACCCGGGUAGUCCUAGCCGUAAACGAUGCUCGCUAGGUGUCACGACAGUCGUGAAUUGUCGUGGUGCCGUAGGGAAGCCGUGAAGCGAGCCACUUGGGAAGUACGACCGCAAGGUUGAAACUUAAAGGAAUUGGCGGGGGAGCACA
Molecule: ribosomal RNA, 794 nt
Filed under: uncultured archaeon
Lineage: Archaea
Description: bacterial SSU rRNA
Rfam family: Archaeal small subunit ribosomal RNA
Source: RNAcentral